AGACAGCAGUGCUGCUCAGAUCUGCAUGCUGGUUCCUGAGAUAAAAGUCUCAUUCCCAAGAGUGGCAGCGUACGUGAGAGCGUUGCAAAUGUAGUCCUCGUAGGUGGGAGUAAUUUGAUGUCUGAGCUGGAGACGAAUGAUGAAGCUGGGAUUUUUAUUAUAACACCUGAUGUGUUACAAACAGGAGAAAAAGCUUGUGAGGGUGGAGGUGAGAGCUGUGCUUCUGCCGUGGAAGAAGUCAGGGGUACAGGGUACCCAGCACCUCACACCCUGACUCAGAAGCUGGCUGUCAGGUCAUGGAUCAAGUCACAAUUAAUGAUGGCCCUGGUGAUUUAUGAAUUGCAAUUUUUACUCCUGCUAGUUCCUGGAGAGUUGGGAACCAUCAGAUUCCAGCCUGAGCAGCUGUAGCCUGAGCAUCAGUUAGCACCGACGAGCAACGUGUGCGUGGAUGUGGAAACCAGCCCAUCUCUGGGCAGGGGAGUUAAUUGAAUACCAGUGCAAGAGAGACUGGAAAUGCUUUCUGUGAGUUGCACAUGAAGUUAUUAGUUUCCCAAGGGUGGAAGGCAGACUAUCACUGAGUGAUCAGAAAUCCAACUAACAGAUUUUACUGCAGAGCUUAGAAGGCUGCUUAGAGAGACGCAAAGAAAGGCACAAGGAAUAUGUGUCUGGCACUUGCAACUCUUCUGAAGUGAGCCUGAAAAAAGAGGGACAAAACCAAAGUGAUGAAGAGAACAGCAAUUCUGGGUCUGAGCAAGAGUUUACAGGAUUCACAGGGACAGAAGAGGAGAGCCCUGUUCUAGAUUAUGCUGUCUUUGGAAAGCCCCAACCAAGACCUUCAUUCAAGUUUUGUCUCUUUAUCCCAAAUUGAUUGACUCUGACGUUCCCUGGGAAGGAGUUUGCAUCACUGUGAAUGCUGACUGGACACAUUGCUACUUUGGAUUAUGCAAAAAUGAACGGAUUUUCUCAUUUCUGUUGCCCUCUGCGUUGAUGUUAAGUCAGGGUUAGGAGGACUUCUUCCUGAAAUUCAGAGGACGUAUGACCCUGAUGUUGGUUGAGUGUAUGUGAUGACUGAACCAUUCAGCUCCCAGACAGACUUCAGUUGUUUGGGGCUCUGCAGCUCUCACAAUUUAUCUGCUAACAACAAAAAUAUGCUUAUUAUUUGGAAUGUUUACAUCAUCCAUGCAGCUGGCCCAGAGCCAACGUCAGCUCCCCUACAAAACUGACAUUUAUUUCUAGUUAAGAAUUCUCAUAUUCUUCGUCCUGACCAGAGUUUGCAUCAGUGGAGCUGCAGCAUGGCAAAGCCACUGGAAAGGAGUAACAUUUGCAGUAACAAAGCCACUCAGGAGACGUGUCCCUCAGUCCAUGGGGGGACCAGGUCUGAAAUGAUGUUAUCUGCUGAUCACUCACG
This 1408-nucleotide long non-coding RNA is filed under the name Calidris pugnax (ruff). RNAcentral's name for it is "lncRNA (ENSCPUG00000000555.1)". Lineage: Eukaryota; Metazoa; Chordata; Aves; Charadriiformes; Scolopacidae. The record is from RNAcentral.